CCUACGGGAGGCAGCAGUGAGGAAUAUUGGUCAAUGGACGAAAGUCUGAACCAGCCAUGCCGCGUGCAGGAUGACGGCCCUAUGGGUUGUAAACUGCUUUUAUACAGGAAUAAACCACCGAACGUGUUCGGUGCUGAAGGUACUGUAAGAAUAAGGAUCGGCUAACUCCGUGCCAGCAGCCGCGGUAAUACGGAGGAUCCAAGCGUUAUCCGGAUUCAUUGGGUUUAAAGGGUCCGCAGGCGGGGUAUUAAGUCAGUGGUGAAAGCCGGCAGCUUAACUGUCGAAUUGCCAUUGAUACUGGUACUCUUGAGUGUAGUUGAAGUAGGCGGAAUAAGUCAUGUAGCGGUGAAAUGCAUAGAUAUGACUUAGAACACCGAUUGCGAAGGCAGCUUACUAAGCUACUACUGACGCUCAUGGACGAAAGCGUGGGGAGCGAACAGGAUUAGAUACCCUGGUAGUCCACGCCGUAAACGAUGAUCACUCGCUGUUGGCGAUAUACUGUCAGCGGCCAAGCGAAAGUAUUAAGUGAUGCACCUGGGGAGUACGCCGGCAACGGUGAAACUUAAAGGAAUUGACGGA
This 579-nucleotide ribosomal RNA is filed under the name uncultured bacterium. RNAcentral's name for it is "bacterial SSU rRNA". It matches the Rfam family "Bacterial small subunit ribosomal RNA", at positions 338 to 917 of the family's 1533-position model. The record is from RNAcentral.